CCUACGGGUGGCAGCAGUGAGGAAUAUUGGUCAAUGGACGAGAGUCUGAACCAGCCAAGUAGCGUGAAGGAUGACUGCCCUAUGGGUUGUAAACUUCUUUUAUAUGGGAAUAAAAUGUUCCACGUGUGGGAUUUUGUAUGUACCAUAUGAAUAAGGAUCGGCUAACUCCGUGCCAGCAGCCGCGGUAAUACGGAGGAUACGAGCGUUAUCCGGAUUUAUUGGGUUUAAAGGGAGCGUAGGUGGAUUGUUAAGUCAGUUGUGAAAGUUUGCGACUCAACCGUAAAAUUGCAGUUGAAACUGGCAGUCUUGAGUACAGUAGAGGUGGGCGGAAUUCGUGGUGUAGCGGUGAAAUGCUUAGAUAUCACGAAGAACUCCGAUUGCGAAGGCAGUUCACUGGACUGCAACUGACACUGAGGCUCGAAAGUGUGGGUAUCAAACAGGAUUAGAUACCCGAGUAGUC
This 460-nucleotide ribosomal RNA is filed under the name uncultured bacterium. RNAcentral's name for it is "partial 16S ribosomal RNA". It matches the Rfam family "Bacterial small subunit ribosomal RNA", at positions 338 to 795 of the family's 1533-position model. The record is from RNAcentral.